This 23-nucleotide non-coding RNA is filed under the name Arabidopsis thaliana (thale cress). The record is from RNAcentral. Lineage: Eukaryota; Viridiplantae; Streptophyta; Magnoliopsida; Brassicales; Brassicaceae.
UACACAUGCGAAAUCCGGACUGA